ACUGACGUAGUUUGAUCAGUGGCUCAGGACGACGCUGGCGGCGUGCUUAACACAUGCAAGUCGAACGGAUCGCCUGGAUUUCGGUUGGGUGGUGAGUGGCGAACGGGUGAGUAACACGUGAGUAACCUGCCCCGGACUUUGGGAUAACGACUCGAAAGGGUUGCUAAUACCGGAUAUUGAAUUGCUGCCGCAUGGUGGUGGUUUGAAAGAUUUUUUGGUUCGGGAUGGGCUCGCGGCCUAUCAGCUUGUUGGUGGGGUGAUGGCCUACCAAGGCGUCGACGGGUAGCCGGCCUGAGAGGGCGACCGGCCACACUGGGACUGAGAUACGGCCCAGACUCCUACGGGAGGCAGCAGUGGGGAAUAUUGCACAAUGGGCGGAAGCCUGAUGCAGCAACGCCGCGUGCGGGAUGAAGGCCUUCGGGUUGUAAACCGCUUUCAGCUAUGACGAAUGUGACGGUAGUAGCAGAAGAAGCACCGGCUAACUACGUG
RNAcentral lists this ribosomal RNA (489 nucleotides) under uncultured bacterium. RNAcentral describes it as "bacterial SSU rRNA". It matches the Rfam family "Bacterial small subunit ribosomal RNA", at positions 1 to 507 of the family's 1533-position model. The record is from RNAcentral.